RNAcentral lists this ribosomal RNA (253 nucleotides) under uncultured bacterium. Its description in RNAcentral is "partial 16S ribosomal RNA". It matches the Rfam family "Bacterial small subunit ribosomal RNA", at positions 524 to 776 of the family's 1533-position model. The record is from RNAcentral.
GACAGAGGAGCCAAGCGUUAGGCGGAAUCACUGGGCUUAAAGCGUGUGUAGGCGGAUUUGUAAGUACCUUGUGAAAUCCCACGGCUCAACCGUGGAACUGCUUGGUAUACUGCUUAUCUUGGGUCGUCUAGGGGCGAGCGGAACAAACGGUGGAGCGGUGAAAUGCGUAGAUAUCGUUUGGAACGCCAAUGGUGAAAACAGCUCGCUGGGGACGUACCGACGCUGAGACACGAAAGCCAGGGGAGCGAACGGG